GAUGAACGCUGGCGGCGUGCCUAAUACAUGCAAGUCGAGCGAACAGACGAGGAGCUUGCUCCUCUGACGUUAGCGGCGGACGGGUGAGUAACACGUGGAUAACCUACCUAUAAGACUGGGAUAACUUCGGGAAACCGGAGCUAAUACCGGAUAAUAUAUUGAACCGCAUGGUUCAAUAGUGAAAGACGGUUUUGCUGUCACUUAUAGAUGGAUCCGCGCCGCAUUAGCUAGUUGGUAAGGUAACGGCUUACCAAGGCAACGAUGCGUAGCCGACCUGAGAGGGUGAUCGCCCACACGGGAACUGAGACACGGUCCAGACUCCUACGGGAGGCAGCAGUAGGGAAUCUUCCGCAAUGGGCGAAAGCUUGACGGAGCAACGCCGCGUGAGUGAUGAAGGUCUUCGGAUCGUAAAACUCUGUUAUUAGGGAAGAACAAAUGUGUAAGUAACUAUGCACGUCUUGACGGUACCUAAUCAGAAAGCCACGGCUAACUACGUG
This 497-nucleotide ribosomal RNA is filed under the name uncultured bacterium. RNAcentral's name for it is "partial 16S ribosomal RNA". It matches the Rfam family "Bacterial small subunit ribosomal RNA", at positions 28 to 507 of the family's 1533-position model. The record is from RNAcentral.